AACGAACGCUGGCGGCAUGCCUAACACAUGCAAGUCGAACGAGAUCUUCGGGUCUAGUGGCGCACGGGUGCGUAACGCGUGGGAAUCUGCCCUUUGGUUCGGAAUAACAGUUGGAAACGACUGCUAAUACCGGAUGAUGACGAAAGUCCAAAGAUUUAUCGCCAGAGGAUGAGCCCGCGUAGGAUUAGCUAGUUGGUGUGGUAAAGGCGCACCAAGGCGACGAUCCUUAGCUGGUCUGAGAGGAUGAUCAGCCACACUGGGACUGAGACACGGCCCAUACUCCUACGGGAGGCAGAAGUGGGGAAUAUUGGACAAUGGGCGAAAGCCUAAUCCAGCAAUGCCGCGUGAGUGAUGAAGGCCUUAGGGUUGUAAAGCUCUUUUACCCGGGAUGAUAAUGACAGUACCGGGAGAAUAAGCUCCGGCUAACUCCGUGCCAGCCGCCGCGGUAU
This 449-nucleotide ribosomal RNA is filed under the name uncultured bacterium. Its description in RNAcentral is "partial 16S ribosomal RNA". It matches the Rfam family "Bacterial small subunit ribosomal RNA", at positions 29 to 523 of the family's 1533-position model. The record is from RNAcentral.